AGUGAACGCUGGCGGUAGGCCUAACACAUGCAAGUCGAACGGCAGCACAGUAAGAGCUUGCUCUUACGGGUGGCGAGUGGCGGACGGGUGAGGAAUACAUCGGAAUCUACUUUUUCGUGGGGAAUAACGUAGGGAAACUUACGCUAAUACCGCAUACGACCUACGGGUGAAAGCAGGGGAUCUUCGGACCUUGCGCGAUUGAAUGAGCCGAUGUCGGAUUAGCUAGUUGGCGGGGUAAAGGCCCACCAAGGCGACGAUCCGUAGCUGGUCUGAGAGGAUGAUCAGCCACACUGGAACUGAGACACGGUCCAGACUCCUACGGGAGGCAGCAGUGGGGAAUAUUGGACAAUGGGCGCAGGCCUGAUCCAGCCAUACCGCGUGGGUGAAGAAGGCCUUCGGGUUGUAAAGCCCUUUUGUUGGGAAAGAAAAGCAGCAGGUUAAUACCCCGCUGUUCUGACGGUACCCAAAGAAUAAGCACCGGCUAACUUCGUG
This 492-nucleotide ribosomal RNA is filed under the name uncultured bacterium. RNAcentral describes it as "partial 16S ribosomal RNA". It matches the Rfam family "Bacterial small subunit ribosomal RNA", at positions 29 to 507 of the family's 1533-position model. The record is from RNAcentral.